UACGGAGGAUGCAAGCGUUAUCCGGAAUGAUUGGGCGUAAAGCGUCCGCAGGUGGCUGUGUAAGUCUGCUGUCAAAGAGCAAAGCUCAACUUUGUAAAGGCAGUGGAAACUACACGGCUAGAGUGCGUUCGGGGCAGAGGGAAUUCCAGGUGUAGCGGUGAAAUGCGUAGAUAUCUGGAGGAACACCGGUGGCGAAGGCGGCAUCCUGGACCGGUAUUGACGCUGAGGCGCGAAAGCUAGGGGAGCAAACGGG
RNAcentral lists this ribosomal RNA (253 nucleotides) under uncultured bacterium. RNAcentral's name for it is "partial 16S ribosomal RNA". It matches the Rfam family "Bacterial small subunit ribosomal RNA", at positions 524 to 776 of the family's 1533-position model. The record is from RNAcentral.